UACGUAGGGUCCGAGCGUUGUCCGGAAUUACUGGGCGUAAAGAGCUCGUAGGUGGUUUGUCGCGUUGUCCGUGAAAACUCACAGCUCAACUGUGGGCGUGCGGGCGAUACGGGCAGACUGGAGUACUGCAGGGGAGACUGGAAUUCCUGGUGUAGCGGCGGAAUGCGCAGAUAUCAGGAGGAACACCGGUGGCGAAGGCGGGUCUCUGGGCAGUAACUGACGCUGAGGAGCGAAAGCGUGGGGAGCGAACAGG
This 253-nucleotide ribosomal RNA is filed under the name uncultured bacterium. Its description in RNAcentral is "partial 16S ribosomal RNA". It matches the Rfam family "Bacterial small subunit ribosomal RNA", at positions 524 to 776 of the family's 1533-position model. The record is from RNAcentral.